AUCCUUAUCCUCCAUCUCACUGUCGACAUCUCUCUCCCUCAUUACACUUUUUCAUUUUCUUUCUUCUUCUUCUACAGACCACGUUCUCUGAUCUUUCUUUUCUAAUUCUCCUUUCUUUUCAUUUUCUUUCUUUUGCUGCAGCAGACCCAUUUUUCUAUUCUUCUUCUUAUGUCUCAAAUUUUCUUUCUUGUUGCAGCAACAACCUGCCACCGUUCCUUCUCAUCAUCCCCACCAUUUCUACUUCUUCCUUAUUUCUUCUCAUCACCACCAUGAAACAACCAAGGAGCCAACACCACCUCACCAUAUAUCAUGUUCUUCUUCCUCCUUCAAUCAAAGACAAACCACCACCGUCCAUUCUUCUCCUUCUCCUCCCUAUGGCCUCAAAAGGAGCAGCACCCACAGACACCACAUGAGCCACCACCUUCACCUUUUCUUCUCCUCCAUGGCUGGCCAAACGCACCACAACCCUCUGUCCUUCUUCCUCACGUAGCUCCUUUGGACAGCCACGAUGACCACCAAUCUGCCCCUUUGAGAACCACCAUCACCUUCAUCUUCCAAUUUUAUGGGUACGAAGGACGAAAGCUCCUCGCGGCGAAGCUAAAGAAUAAAAGGAAGUGAGCCGACGUGGAAAACAAAGAUGUGAUUGGAUUGGAGUUGCAGUUUUGGAUGGAGAAAUUGGCUAAGGCGAUGGAAGACUGUCGAUGAAACUUGACCUUUGCACGAGUCGGAGCUGAAGACUUGAAGAUUAGUGGAAGACAUGAAGAGUAGAGUCAGGUUUAAGGUUAGAGCCUUGGGUUAGAGAGCUUACCGUUAUUGGUUUAAGCUUGCCUAAUAAUUUUUAGGAAUUUGCAUUUGAGAUUCGGGUAGGUUCCGAUGCAUUGCUUUCUUGCGAUUCCCCGGUGUGGAGAUCGUAGGGAGUAGGUCGGAUUAGGGUGUCGUGACAUAACAGAUUCCUUGUUGGAUCUGAUCUCAUUCGUUAGAUUUGUAGUUGUGUUCUUUCGUUCAUACAUUCGGGAACUUGCCUGGGUCAAGGCUUGAUGUAGAUUUUAUUUACUGUUGGGUGUAGGCAUUACAUGUUUUGAAAACAAUUCAAAAGAAAAAAAAAUUACUCGCUUUAUA
Molecule: long non-coding RNA, 1119 nt
Organism: Lotus japonicus
Lineage: Eukaryota; Viridiplantae; Streptophyta; Magnoliopsida; Fabales; Fabaceae
Exons: 3
Source: RefSeq, a predicted model, not a curated record